RNAcentral lists this ribosomal RNA (1400 nucleotides) under uncultured bacterium. RNAcentral's name for it is "bacterial SSU rRNA". It matches the Rfam family "Bacterial small subunit ribosomal RNA". The record is from RNAcentral.
UUAGAGUUUGAUCCUGGCUCAGGAUGAACGCUAGCGGCAGGCUUAACACAUGCAAGUCGAGGGGCAGCGAGAUCAGUGCUUGCACUGAUUGUCGGCGACCGGCGCACGGGUGCGUAACGCGUAUGCAACCUACCCAUUACAGGGGGAUAACACUGAGAAAUCGGUACUAAUACCCCAUAACAUCCAGGGAGGCAUCUUCUUGGGUUGAAAACUCCGGUGGUAAUGGAUGGGCAUGCGUUGUAUUAGUUAGUUGGUGGGGUAACGGCUCACCAAGACAACGAUACAUAGGGGGACUGAGAGGUUAACCCCCCACAUUGGUACUGAGACACGGACCAAACUCCUACGGGAGGCAGCAGUGAGGAAUAUUGGUCAAUGGACGCAAGUCUGAACCAGCCAUGCCGCGUGCAGGAAGACGGCUCUAUGAGUUGUAAACUGCUUUUGUACGAGGGUAAACGCAGAUACGCGUAUCUGUCUGAAAGUAUCGUACGAAUAAGGAUCGGCUAACUCCGUGCCAGCAGCCGCGGUAAUACGGAGGAUUCAAGCGUUAUCCGGAUUUAUUGGGUUUAAAGGGUGCGUAGGCGGUCGGAUAAGUUAGAGGUGAAAUCCCGGGGCUCAACUUCGGAAUUGCCUCUGAUACUGUUCGGCUAGAGAGUAGUUGCGGUAGGCGGAAUGUAUGGUAUAGCGGUGAAAUGCUUAGAGAUCAUACAGAACACCGAUUGCGAAGGCAGCUUACCAAGCUACUUCUGACGUUGAGGCACGAAAGCGUGGGGAGCAAACAGGAUUAGAUACCCUGGUAGUCCACGCAGUAAACGAUGAUAACUCGUUGUCGGCGAUACAGUGUCGGUGACUAAGCGAAAGCGAUAAGUUAUCCACCUGGGGAGUACGUUCGCAAGAAUGAAACUCAAAGGAAUUGACGGGGGCCCGCACAAGCGGAGGAACAUGUGGUUUAAUUCGAUGAUACGCGAGGAACCUUACCCGGGCUUGAAAGUUAGUGACGGAUCUUGAAAGAGGUCUUCCCUUCGGGGCACGAAACUAGGUGCUGCAUGGUUGUCGUCAGCUCGUGCCGUGAGGUGUCGGGUUAAGUCCCAUAACGAGCGCAACCCCUACCGUUAGUUGCCAGCAGGUCAAGCUGGGCACUCUGACGGGACUGCCGGUGUAAGCCGAGAGGAAGGUGGGGAUGACGUCAAAUCAGCACGGCCCUUACGUCCGGGGCUACACACGUGUUACAAUGGCAGGUACAGAGGGCAGCUACCCAGCGAUGGGAUGCGAAUCUCGAAAGCCUGUCUCAGUUCGGAUUGGAGGCUGAAACCCGCCUCCAUGAAGUUGGAUUCGCUAGUAAUCGCGCAUCAGCCAUGGCGCGGUGAAUACGUUCCCGGGCCUUGCACACACCGCCCGUCAAG